CAAUACAGAAAGAUACCCUUUCCCAGAGGAGAAGCCUGAGGUUCAGAGAGUGAUUAGGUCUUGAAUCCCAAAGUAGUGGUAGUGAGCUUAAACCCAGAUACACUAGUUUCUUACUAACCCCCCAUAUACCUGUCCAUGCCCUUGAACAGGUGAAGAAAGCCAAAGGGAGUCAGUGAGUGAUAUUGAAGAGAAGCCAAUGAGUAAAUAGGCCACUUGAUGCAAACAAAAGUCUUCUCCAGACCCCAGUUUUUAGAACACAUAAACAAAUCCUACCCUAAGGCCAGACAGACUUGCCCACCCCCUUCACACCAUCCAGGGUAGGCCUGAAGUCCAGGCUGUGGCAGUCAGCAAGCCUAGCAACAGAAUUCCCCAAGAGUGCUAUCAGCCUUGAACUGAGCAUUGUGAUCCAUGAGUCAACCAUGGCAACUGGAACCCCAUUCCCUGUGGGACCAUUUUAGGCCCCUCUGAAUUUAGAAGGCAGGGUGCAGAUGAGAAAUGAAGAGUAUGUGGACACCACAGCAUCCUGGUCCAGCAAACUAAGUUGGCAGCUGCAUCUACAAUGUGCUAGAGCAUCUCAGAGAUCCUCAAGAAACAGGAGGGAAGCCUGUGGACCCACGGAAGGUGAGAAACACUGCAUGGAGAUUCUUGCACAGUCAGGAUCUGCAAAGAACUCUGCCUCAUGGGGAAGGGACAAGAAAAGUCCUACCCACUGGAGUGGCAGGUGCUCCAGUUCUUUCCUGGAUGUCAGAUCUAAAUCCGGCCUCUCUUUACACUGCUGGAGAUGCUUUCUGAGAAACUUUUUCUCCAUCUGAGCACAGUUGAAGCUCAUCUGUCACUCAUCUGCUACUUAACAGAGUCAGAGAGGCCAGGAUAGAAGGCCAGGAAAUGCCUGCCUGAGAAAUGUCCAGGAUGUGUGCAGGAAAUGAGUGCAGAAAAAAUCCAGCACACCUUGCAUCCUCUCUGUGACCACCUGAAUUCUGUUUCUCUGAAUGUACCUGACAUUUGAAGAUUAUUAGUUCUCUGGGGACACUAAAGACACUAUGUUGGCAUUUUAUAGAUGCUGACACAGUGGCUAUCCUCCUCACCUGACUCCAUUAGGCUGUGAGAAUUAGGAGGCAGAGUGGCAAGCUGACAACAAUGUCUCCAUGCCAUCCAACCAUGAGAUGUCCUCAGGUGAAUGAAUAAAAAGGGCAUGCCCAGAAAAUCCUGGAACUACUGAACGCAUCUAUCACUGGAGAAGGGAGAAGUCCCCUCACCUCAUGGCAGGAACUCAUACAGCUUUUUUAUUAUAAAAAAGAGACAGGAGUGCUUCUUUCCCAUUGGUUGAUAUGAAGAAAGGAAGUGACCCCAUGAUUUCUCAUAACAAUGUUGAUACAGCAGCAAACAUUGUCAGUGUCUGCACCAAACAAAUGGGGCUACAAUUUCUACUAAUCAUAACUUCUGCCAUUUGAAGAAGGGGAAACUGAGGCAUCACAGUUUUUUUUUAUAAUGAGAAUGGGAAGCGUAAGCUUUUAUUCAACAAAUUUGUAAUUUUGACAAAGAUUUUGGCAAAGGAGAAUGGAGAAAGUGAGAGGUUUAUAAGUUUUACAUAGUGACACAGGUGCUCCAUGACAGGAAUGAGUUGGUGCUAGACAUUACAUGUGCAACCACCAAGAAAGUAACAACCCUGUGACUGGGGACUUAUUUUUCUGCAAUGAGACUUCUUUUUGGUUAGAGCCCAUUCCCUUUGUUUUAACAACUUCACACGGGUUGGAUAAAAAAAUAAUAAAACAAAACAAAAAGUCUUUUUUGAACCAAAACUUUUGAUUCUAAUAUUAAGAGAAAUAAAUGUAGAAGGUGUCCGAUAUCUCUGUUUCAUUUCUUCUUUUAUGUACCAAACCAUCUAGCUGUUUUGUACAAUGUGCCACGGACACAAAGUGAAGGUUCAGCUCUUUGAGGAGGCACCUGAAAGGAGCAUUUCUGGGUUUCUUGCAGGAGGUUUUAUAAAUCAAUGAGUUCCAAAUCUGAGUAAUAAAAUCUACAAAAUACAAAGGAAAAUUAAGAACAGAAGACAGUAAAGAACACUCCUGGAAACUAAGCAAAAUAUUGGAUGAAGAUUGAUAUCAGUGAAAGUUAUUUACAAAGUCUUUAACAAAAACAAAACAUGACACUGACAAGUCAUUUGUAUCUAACUUUAAUUGCCUUCAGUAUUCAGAGAAGAAAAAGCACUGUUAUAAUCCCUAGACUUAUCAUCACAAAGAUGGUAGGGAGUGGUGAAGAAGACUCUUCCAUGGUCCCUCUCAAAUUGGAACUGGCUCUGCUUGUACACUUCCUUGACUUCUCUUAAGCUCCAGUCAUCCAAGUAAUAUAGAGCACUUGGGUUAGGAGUUCUGUCUCCUCU
Non-coding RNA from Ictidomys tridecemlineatus (thirteen-lined ground squirrel), 2380 nucleotides. The record is from RefSeq and is a predicted model, not a curated record. Lineage: Eukaryota; Metazoa; Chordata; Mammalia; Rodentia; Sciuridae.